CUCUUGUAUGCCUUAAGCCUUGGCCCUUCUAGCAUGCCAUCCUUGCUUUGUUUCAGUGGUUUGGAACCACUUGACAUGUCAUUUCAGACCUCAUGAUGUGCCCAUAUGCUUGCAUUUCAUCCCCCUUCAAUGUGUUUAAAGGUUGUUGCCAUAUGCCUCUUGUUUAGGCCUUGGAGUAUGCUUGUAUUUUUAGACCACUUAGAUGCCAUCUAAGUACAUCCUUAGCUUUGUUUAGGUCUGCAUUAGACCCAUUUUAAGUUCCUU
This 264-nucleotide small RNA is filed under the name Camellia sinensis. RNAcentral's name for it is "transcribed RNA". The record is from RNAcentral. Lineage: Eukaryota; Viridiplantae; Streptophyta; Magnoliopsida; Ericales; Theaceae.